Molecule: long non-coding RNA, 1458 nt
Filed under: Homo sapiens (human)
Lineage: Eukaryota; Metazoa; Chordata; Mammalia; Primates; Hominidae
Description: HSALNT0118480
Source: RNAcentral
AACAGGAAGGACCAGUGGACCCAAUCUAAGAAAAUAAAGUUUAACAGGUGCAAAAGUAAAAUUUUUAAGAACAAAUCUAUAAUGUCAAAUCGAGGUGGAGGUGAUGUAGCCUGUAACAUGGCUUAAAAGUAGAAUAUGUGGGGAAUAUUCAUAGUAUUUUAAUUUAACUUUUUAAACUGUAAACUAAGUAAAAGCUAACGAUUCCAAGUGGCUAUUUAAAAAGAACAUCUACUGCAGUGCUGAGUUAUAUAAUACAAUUCUACAAAAUGAGAGUCAACAGUCUUCUUUUUUUCUAGGCCUUGUCAUGCUUUUCCGCAUUUAAAAAGGCAUUUAAAAAAAUCCGAAACAAGAACAUGUACAGAAAGGUAAAAUUGACUGGAAGAGUUCAUUCCUUCCACUGAAAUCACUGAAUAACUACCUUGGCUACUUGGUGCCAAUGAUGAAGGCAUCAUAUUUAUACCCCUCAAAGGAUUCACAGUCCAGGAAGAAGCAGACAAACGAAGACUUUCAUAAGUGCUAUGGAGAGCCAAGGAACCAUCUCGAUCUGCUGGGAAUUCCUGGGGCAGGAAACUGAGGAUGGGACUGUGGUCCAAGGAGGCAGACUCUGACCAGGCUGGGACAGGGAAGGGGAGCGUUCAGGCAAGGUGGUCGGCCUUCUGUCAGAGCAUACUGCAUUACAGUACUCGAGUAAACUUAUGAAUUAGGGCACAUAGCAGAAACAAUGACAAGAAAUGUUGGAGACAGAUGGACUCUUGAAGACCUUUGUGUCAUGUUGAAGAGUGUGAACUUUCUCCUGGGCAGUGGGACUCACAUGAUCCCUAGGCAGAGAAGAGCUCUGGUGGAACUUUUAUUUAAGAGAGAUGAUCAUAGCAGCCAGUGGAGGGGUUUGAGGUUCCUCAAUAAUUCACGCAAAAAAAAAAAAAAAACCAGACAUCAGAAGGCUGUGGUAGUAGUAAUGGAUGAGGAGGACAGGCCUGGAGGGACAUUCCAGAAGAAGAAUGAGGGGCUUGGUGAAUAACUGGAAGAAACGAUGAGGGAAAGAAGGAGUCUAAGAGGAGGCAAAUGACAGUGGGGCCAUACUCUGAGAGAGGCAGGAGUGGGAUAGGGGCAGGUUGGGAGCUCAUGAAGAUGACUGAGCCCAGCUUGAGUCUGGCUGAGUCUCAUACGUCUAUAAGACAUCCACCUAGAGAUGUCCACGGGCAGCCAAGGAUGUAAGAUCUGGCGCUUGGGAGAAUUGUCCGGGCAGGAGGCAGAUUUAAGAAAUGCCAAUGUACAGUUGGCUGUUAAAACAGGGACUAAAAGUAAGAUUGCCUAGAACAGGGCUGCUCAGCCUUUUUGAAACCGGUGUGUUUCUCCUUCCCCACAUUUGAUAAACACAUUCUUUCUGCUUAAAAUAAAAACACUAUUUUUUCAUUCACUAUAUGCUUUCACUGUACUAUAGAAUUAGCCUUUUCAAAC